GAUGAACGCUGGCGGCGUGCCUAAUACAUGCAAGUCGAGCGAACAGACGAGGAGCUUGCUCCUCUGACGUUAGCGGCGGACGGGUGAGUAACACGUGGAUAACCUACCUAUAAGACUGGGAUAACUUCGGGAAACCGGAGCUAAUACCGGAUAAUAUAUUGAACCGCAUGGUUCAAUAGUGAAAGACGGUUUUGCUGUCACUUAUAGAUGGAUCCGCGCCGCAUUAGCUAGUUGGUAAGGUAACGGCUUACCAAGGCAACGAUGCGUAGCCGACCUGAGAGGGUGGUCGGCCACACGGGAACUGAGACACGGUCGAGACUCCUGCGGGAGGCAGCAGUAGGGAAUCUUCCGCAAUGGACGAAAGCCUGACGGAGCAACGCCGCGUGAGGGAUGAAGGUCUUCGGAUCGUAAAGCUCUGUUAUCAGGGAAGAACAAAUGUGUAAGUAACUAUGCACGUCUUGACGGUACCUGAUCAGAAAGCCACGGCUAACUACGUG
RNAcentral lists this ribosomal RNA (497 nucleotides) under uncultured bacterium. RNAcentral describes it as "partial 16S ribosomal RNA". It matches the Rfam family "Bacterial small subunit ribosomal RNA", at positions 28 to 507 of the family's 1533-position model. The record is from RNAcentral.